Molecule: long non-coding RNA, 1220 nt
Organism: Sebastes umbrosus (honeycomb rockfish)
Lineage: Eukaryota; Metazoa; Chordata; Actinopteri; Perciformes; Sebastidae
Exons: 3
Source: RefSeq, a predicted model, not a curated record
CAGACGCAGAGCAAUACUGAAAUUGCAAAGAAAUUGGACGUCAUAGCAGUGAUGAGCAUAUUUGCUUCUAUAGAGAGCAAAAUGCAUGAGAUGAGGGGACAGCGGGUCACCUGCUAGUAAUACUCCAUAUAUGCAGGCUAAGAAGAGAGGAUGUGCAAGGAGGACAAUAGAAAUAACAAUGUUUCCUCCAGCUCUUGGUUUACUGCCACGAAGCUCGGCCUGGUGGGCCGGGGGCUUCAUAUGCUGAGAAGGUCACGUCUCCUGAUGAUGGCUUUCAUUGUCCUUCAGCGGCUUCUCUGACACUAAUCUAGAUGCAUCAGUUUUAACGGCAUUCCUCCAUUGCAACAUGCAUCCGCGGAGAUCAAUCAAUCCAUCCUGUAAUUUCAUCAGGAUCUCUCUCUCUUGUUCCUCUACACCUCUCUCACCACCUCCACCCUCCCUCUCCCUGUCACCUUCCCAAAGCGUGAGGCAGGCCAUUCAUCAACAUUCCCAUCGAGCAUGGGUAUUUAAAAUGUUUUUUUAGAAUGCAUUGGCUGGGGUUCCACGAGGGCUUUCUGACACAACGGUGGUCAAUAGAUUCAUAAUGACUCUGUGUAAAGUCGUGUCAUAAAUAUCACUCCACCUCUCCGCGCUACAUGAUAGGUUAUUCUUUUAGCAACGUGAAUCCAAUAAAUCAAACAGAAGACACGGAAUUGCUGAAUAUAUGACUUACAAUAUACAACACUGUCAGUACAAAGUACAAACUGUCCUAUAACAAAUAGAGGAAUUAAAACCCACAUUUUGCUCGGCAGAGGUGUGCCUGCCUUUUGUACACACAAACUCUGGAAAAUAUGCUGAUAUUUGUGUCCUCUUUGUUUCUCUCCUCAGCCUCCCCCCCUCCUUCCCUCUUUGUCAUGUGAAGCACACACCAGCUCCUCUGCAUGUUUACCAAUGACAAAUGGAGGACUCGGGUCUUCAGGGGCACAGAGUGGAAUCAGGUGCGCUUCAGGCUGCGGGCCUAUAGGCUCCAGCGGCUGUAAGCCCAGGGGCCACCGGCAAAGGAGAGCCGUGAUAAGUCCUGGCUGAAGAAUGAAUACAUUCACAUGGGACGAGCAGUAUAGGGAGACAAUUGGCUGCAUUGUUUUCUCCAGCAUGCUGUUGCAUCACAAUGCACAUUCCCAGUGUGCACUUCAUGAAAAUGGAUUUAGUUAUGGAAGAGGACAUUUCAAGUCUCAAGUCUG